RNAcentral lists this ribosomal RNA (1417 nucleotides) under Klebsiella pneumoniae LCT-KP182. RNAcentral's name for it is "bacterial LSU rRNA". It matches the Rfam family "Bacterial large subunit ribosomal RNA", at positions 1531 to 2925 of the family's 2925-position model. The record is from RNAcentral. Lineage: Bacteria; Pseudomonadati; Pseudomonadota; Gammaproteobacteria; Enterobacterales; Enterobacteriaceae.
UCCAGGCAAAUCCGGAUAAUCAAGGCUGAGGUGUGAUGACGAGGCACUACGGUGCUGAAGUAACAAAUGCCCUGCUUCCAGGAAAAGCCUCUAAGCAUCAGGUAACAUCAAAUCGUACCCCAAACCGACACAGGUGGUCAGGUAGAGAAUACCAAGGCGCUUGAGAGAACUCGGGUGAAGGAACUAGGCAAAAUGGUGCCGUAACUUCGGGAGAAGGCACGCUGGUGUGUAGGUGAAGCCCCUGCGGGUGGAGCUGAGACCAGUCGAAGAUACCAGCUGGCUGCAACUGUUUAUUAAAAACACAGCACUGUGCAAACACGAAAGUGGACGUAUACGGUGUGACGCCUGCCCGGUGCCGGAAGGUUAAUUGAUGGGGUUAUCCGUAAGGAGAAGCUCUUGAUCGAAGCCCCGGUAAACGGCGGCCGUAACUAUAACGGUCCUAAGGUAGCGAAAUUCCUUGUCGGGUAAGUUCCGACCUGCACGAAUGGCGUAAUGAUGGCCAGGCUGUCUCCACCCGAGACUCAGUGAAAUUGAACUCGCUGUGAAGAUGCAGUGUACCCGCGGCAAGACGGAAAGACCCCGUGAACCUUUACUAUAGCUUGACACUGAACAUUGAGCCUUGAUGUGUAGGAUAGGUGGGAGGCUUUGAAGCGUGGACGCCAGUCUGCGUGGAGCCAACCUUGAAAUACCACCCUUUAAUGUUUGAUGUUCUAACGUUGGCCCCUGACCGGGGUUGCGGACAGUGUCUGGUGGGUAGUUUGACUGGGGCGGUCUCCUCCCAAAGCGUAACGGAGGAGCACGAAGGUUAGCUAAUCCUGGUCGGACAUCAGGAGGUUAGUGCAAUGGCAUAAGCUAGCUUGACUGCGAGCGUGACGGCGCGAGCAGGUGCGAAAGCAGGUCAUAGUGAUCCGGUGGUUCUGAAUGGAAGGGCCAUCGCUCAACGGAUAAAAGGUACUCCGGGGAUAACAGGCUGAUACCGCCCAAGAGUUCAUAUCGACGGCGGUGUUUGGCACCUCGAUGUCGGCUCAUCACAUCCUGGGGCUGAAGUAGGUCCCAAGGGUAUGGCUGUUCGCCAUUUAAAGUGGUACGCGAGCUGGGUUUAGAACGUCGUGAGACAGUUCGGUCCCUAUCUGCCGUGGGCGCUGGAGAAUUGAGGGGGGCUGCUCCUAGUACGAGAGGACCGGAGUGGACGCAUCACUGGUGUUCGGGUUGUCAUGCCAAUGGCACUGCCCGGUAGCUAAAUGCGGAAGAGAUAAGUGCUGAAAGCAUCUAAGCACGAAACUUGCCCCGAGAUGAGUUCUCCCUGAGACUAUAAGUCUCCUGAAGGAACGUUAAAGACGAUGACGUUGAUAGGCCGGGUGUGUAAGCGCAGCGAUGCGUUGAGCUAACCGGUACUAAUGAACCGUGAGGCUUAACC